This 506-nucleotide ribosomal RNA is filed under the name uncultured bacterium. RNAcentral describes it as "partial 16S ribosomal RNA". It matches the Rfam family "Bacterial small subunit ribosomal RNA", at positions 29 to 523 of the family's 1533-position model. The record is from RNAcentral.
AGUGAACGCUGGCGGUAGGCCUAACACAUGCAAGUCGAACGGCAGCACAGGAGAGCUUGCUCUCUGGGUGGCGAGUGGCGGGCGGGUGAGGAAUACAUCGGAAUCUACCUUUUCGUGGGGGAUAACGUAGGGAAACUUACGCUAAUACCGCAUACGACCUACGGGUGAAAGUGGGGGACCGCAAGGCCUCACGCGAUUAGAUGAGCCGAUGUCCGAUUAACUAGUUGGCGGGGUAAUGGCCCACCAAGGCGACGAUCGGUAGCUGGUCUGAGAGGAUGAUCAGCCACACUGGAACUGAGACCCGGUCCAGACUCCUACGGGAGGCAGAAGUGGGGAAUAUUGGACAAUGGGCGCAAGCCUGAUCCAGCCAUACCGCGUGGGUGAAGAAGGCCUUCGGGUUGUAAAGCCCUUUUGUUGGGAAAGAAAUCCUGUCGAUUAAUACUCGGUGGGGAUGACGGUACCCAAAGAAUAAGCACCGGCUAACUUCGUGCCAGCAGCCGCCGUAA